AGUGAACGCUGGCGAUAGGCCUAACACAUGCAAGUCGAACGGCAGCACAGUAAGAGCUUGCUCUUACGGGUGGCGAGUGGCGGACGGGUGAGGAAUACAUCGGAAUCUACUUUUUCGUGGGGGAUAACGUAGGGAAACUUACGCUAAUACCGCAUACGACCUACGGGUGAAAGCAGGGGAUCUUCGGACCUUGCGCGAUUGAAUGAGCCGAUGUCGGAUUAGCUAGUUGGCGGGGUAAAGGCCCACCAAGGCGACGAUCCGUAGCUGGUUUGAGAGGAUGAUCAGCCACACUGGAACUGAGACACGGUCCAGACUCCUACGGGAGGCAGCAGUGGGGAAUAUUGGACAAUGGGCGCAAGCCUGAUCCAGCCAUACCGCGUGGGUGAAGAAGGCCUUCGGGUUGUAAAGCCCUUUUGUUGGGAAAGAAAAGCAGCAGGUUAAUACCCCGCUGUUCUGACGGUACCCAAAGAAUAAGCACCGGCUAACUUCGUG
Molecule: ribosomal RNA, 492 nt
Filed under: uncultured bacterium
Lineage: Bacteria
Description: partial 16S ribosomal RNA
Rfam family: Bacterial small subunit ribosomal RNA
Source: RNAcentral